Molecule: ribosomal RNA, 669 nt
Filed under: uncultured bacterium
Lineage: Bacteria
Description: bacterial SSU rRNA
Rfam family: Bacterial small subunit ribosomal RNA
Source: RNAcentral
AGAGUUUGAUCCUGGCUCAGAACGAACGUUGGCGGCGUGCUUAACACAUGCAAGUCGAACGAGAACGGUUCCUUCGGGAGCCAAGUAAAGUGGCGCACGGGUGAGUAACGCGUAGAUAACCUGUCCAGGUGUAUGGGAUAGCCCUUCGAAAGGGGGAUUAAUACCGUAUACGUUAGUCUGUUAUAAGGCAGAUUAAGAAAGGUGGCCUCUAUUUAUAAGCUAUCGCAUUUGGAGGGGUCUGCGUACCAUUAGUUUGUUGGUGGGGUAAUGGCCUACCAAGACUUCGAUGGUUAGCGGGUCUGAGAGGAUGAUCCGUCACACUGGCACUGAAACACGGGCCAGACUCCUACGGGAGGCAGCAGUGAGGAAUAUUGCGCAAUGGGGGAAACCCUGACGCAGCGACGCCGCGUGGGUGAGGAAGGCUUUCGGGUCGUAAAGCCCUGUCAGGUGGGAAGAAAUGUGUAUAGGUUAAUACCUUAUGCACUUGACGGUACCACCAAAGGAAGCACCGGCUAACUCCGUGCCAGCAGCCGCGGUAAUACGGAGGGUGCAAACGUUGUUCGGAAUCACUGGGCGUAAAGGGCGCGCAGGCGGUUUGAUUAGUCAGAUGUGAAAGCCCACGGCUUAACCGUGGAAGUGCAUUUGAAACUGUCAGACUUGAGUACCAGA